This is a long non-coding RNA of Telopea speciosissima, 146 nucleotides long. RefSeq lists it as uncharacterized. NCBI's taxonomy places the organism in Eukaryota, Viridiplantae, Streptophyta, Magnoliopsida, Proteales, Proteaceae. The record is from RefSeq and is a predicted model, not a curated record. The transcript has 3 exons.
UAAAUUUAUAACCACUUAUAUCUUCUGUUGCAGAAUUUUCACUAUAAGGCUUUCGGUUAUUUCUGUCAUGGUGGAUAUUCUGUCAAAUUACCGUAACUGCUAUUUUCUCGAACACGCUUGGUUUAACCAUAUCAUUUAUUGGACAG